UGCAGCUCAGGUUGUGAAAAAAGUAAAGAGGUUGCAAGUUCACGGUCUUGGAUGGUAAAGCUUUCUCUUUCAUGCUGUAUGGUUGCUAGGUAUCUUUAGGUUCGCUCAGUUUCAUGUGUUGUGGUACUGGCAUCUGGAGGUGGUAUGUACUGGAAAUUCUGGAGCUUAAAUAUCAGUAAAAGAGCCACUUCUUCCUCCCAUGUUUGUUAACAUAAUGGUUACUUCAGAAUGUAGGAACAUGCAGACUAUUACUGUUCAUUCUGUAAUUAGUGGUCAAUGAAAAUGAUUUGGCAUCUUUAGGCUUACCAGUUGACCAGAAGUUUUCGUAUAUUGCCAAGGACUUGCUUAGGCUGUUGUAAACUUAUAAUAUCCAGCUUUGAUCAAUAAUCUUGUAGUUAGAUGUUGGAUAAGCAUACUGGGUUAGUGCAUGAGGAGCUGCAUAAACAUACCUGUCUGUGAGCUAGAGUUAACCCUUACCUUUCAUAGCAAGAUAUUUUUCAUUCAAUGAGUUUCUCUACAUGCUCUGGUUUACAGUUCUGCUCUCUGGGGUCCUGCACACAAUCUUGUUUGCUGUAUGGUGGUAAUUAGGUUCUGCUGAGAUCAUGAACAUUUGAUGAUAUCUGCUGUUGAAACUUCGUUAAGAAUGAUGGAAAAGGCAGAAAUGUGAAGUAAAAGGUUCCCUAACCUUUCUCCGAUAUGUCCAUUGUUGGGCAGAUUGAUUUUGGUGGGCUUGGAGAGAUUUACUACCCCUUGACAUCUCCUUUCCCUUUCCUUUUCCUACUAAUCCAAGCUUGAUGUGCGUGGGAGUUUGAUACCAAGAGUCCAUUGCUUGGUACAUUGGCAAAAUCUCAGGACAUCUUGUGUGAGAAUGAGGGUUCAAGUUUAAAGCAGCCACAUGAAGCAAAUAAUUACAAAAUUAAGGUCUAUAAUCAGUCCAACAUUGGGGAAUGACCUUUCUUUUCUAGGGACUUUGGCAUUAAAUUUGAUGCACUUGGCACAAAUCAUUAAAGAGAACCAGACCUCUCGGGUCAAUUUGGAAUUUUGAACUCCAGCCCAAUUCUGAUUCUAAAAAUCCAGCUCAAAUUUGUCCAUUGGCUCUGAGCAUGGAUGGGUCAAGCUUAAUUCUUUCUAAUUUUGUCUUCUGCUUAGCAUCUCUGGUCAUAUUAUCAAUAACUAGGCAUUGUUCCUUUCUUCAAACUGCGGGUUUUUAUUUUUAUUUUUUUUUAAGUUCCUUAUCUUUGGUGGAUUUUGUCACAUCACAUGGAUGAGAAUCAGUGAACCACAUCAGAUUUCCAAGGGACCAUCCAGCUGGUACAGAUACAGAACCAUUUUCUAUGAUUUGAUUUGUACACUGUGAUCAUGUUUGGGUUAACUAGCAAAAUUUAUCAAUUUAAAUAUUGCUGCUUUUUUUGUUUUGGCAAAUCAACCCUUCUAUGUACUUGACUGCAACAAGAGAUACAUGUAUGUUGUUUUGGACUUGCAAAGUCUUCCUUCUUGUACCUUGCUGAGAGGGUUUUGUUGCUUAAUUGUACAUGGCAACACCAGAGGCCUAGCAAAUAAGUCAGUUGAGAUUUUUUAUGUGGUGCUUGGAUCUUGAAUUUGUAGAGAGAAAAGAAAAGGGAAGAGAAAAGUGAAAAAGAAAAGGAAAAUCCAAGAUCCAAACAGUCUUAGUGGGAUAUUUGGGGAUAUUAAGAACACACUUGAAUGUGCCCAAAAGAAAUGAGUUGCUUUAUUGAUAGGAUCAAAUUAGGAGUUGGAAAUUGUUUUGGAUCUCUUCUUGGAAGUUUUGGUAGUGCCAGCUUAUGCUAGUUCUGUUGUCUGACUAAAUCCUGAUCACAAAAACAAUCAUACUGGUGAGGUGGCAGUCAUGGGUGCCCAAUGGUGUGACAACUGAAUUAGACCAUCCAAUCCUGAUUUGGAUUUAGACAUCUCACCAAACUACACAGUGCAUGGGAUUGAAUCUCAAUACACUUGUCAGACAAUGCCACAUUCUUGUUCUCCUUAUAUUUAAGUAAAGCACUUAUUUUGUUAUUCUACUGAAAAGAACUUUCAGCGACUCUUCUAUUGUUUGUCUGCACUUGGUUUCUUUAAAAUUUGAAAUGUGAUUUGGUCAUGUGAGGUGGAUUGUCUUCUGGUGAAGGUAACCAUAUAUUGACAAAGAUAUUUAUGUUUUUUGUGUUUUGAUAAUGGCAACAAAUCAUG
This is a non-coding RNA of Camellia sinensis, 2202 nucleotides long. The record is from RefSeq and is a predicted model, not a curated record. Lineage: Eukaryota; Viridiplantae; Streptophyta; Magnoliopsida; Ericales; Theaceae.